GGCAUGCAAGCGCUUAACACAUCACUGGUUCUCAUCUAUCCCGGGCACGAGGGAAGGAAUAAUGAUAAUAAUCAUGAUGAUAAUAACAAUAACAGUAUUGCUGACAGAGUACCAUUAGUAGAUGGAGAUAUGAAGUAACCUCAAGGUCCUGACAGAGUGAUAACAGUGCCAGAGUGCCAGUAUAGAGCCGAGAAUCGUGCCUACUCGCAGCUCAGUCAGCUUCCCGGUCCUGCCUCACUGUCACUCGCUUUACCACUUCUAGCUGACAUUGUUUAACCGUGGCUCUUGUGACUGUUCAGUGACGCGUAUCUCUGCAUAAUUCGUAGUGAAAAAAAAAGUUUGAUUACAAGGCGAGACUGAGAUUAAGACUGGGAUUACUGGAGUGGCUUGAAUGAAAGAGGUGUGCGUAUUGAACAUCACGAGUUGUGGAGAGAAGAGCGAUGACCGAAUCAUAUUCUCAGGAGACGGCUAUGAAGACCCCCACGAUGUUUGCGAAAUACCCUGGGAUCUACAACAGCACCUGCCCCCAGCACAGGUGCAUUGAGGAGCUCCACCUGAUCUGCGUGGAUUCCCUGUGCAAGUGCCUCACGGGUUACACUCCUGACUCGCAAGGUAAGGGAAUCGGUUACUGAGUCGACAGUGUGAAUUACCUGAUCAUUUCUUUUCUUUUUGUUUAAUUUAAAUGUCUAUUUUUUUAAAUACACAAAUGUAGAAGCAUAGGCCACUGUAACUCUGGAUUGUGCACGGAAUUUCGGCCGGUCGACAACUUUUUUAUACCUGGCGUAUUUUCUACCUAGCUAACCCCUUUAGGUGCCAGAUAAUAUGCGAUAGUCAUUUAACCAUGCUUCACACUAUCUGGUGUGAACACGAAUAAACAAUAAAUCAGUUAUAUAACCCUACAAGCCUUUUAGCAAACUACUUAGUAGGCACACAGGUAAAAUAUAACUUUCACACGCUAGCCUCAUUUUGGUUCC
This is a long non-coding RNA of Penaeus indicus, 974 nucleotides long. RefSeq lists it as uncharacterized. The record is from RefSeq and is a predicted model, not a curated record. Lineage: Eukaryota; Metazoa; Arthropoda; Malacostraca; Decapoda; Penaeidae. The transcript is spliced from 3 exons.